AAAGAAAAAUAACUUGGUCAAGGGAUGCCAGCCAAUUCCUGUUGUAUUUGUGGGGAGAGAACAUGGAAUGGAGUUUAGCAAUUGCUCUAAAGCAUUGUAGAAAUCCUAAUUUCUCAAAUUCUCUCACACAUUCUUGAAUCUUCUCUUUGUUCAACAAGUUUGGGGACAAGUACUCGGGGGCCAUAACAGCUCUUGCAAACCCGAUUGGCAAUGGAAACUCCACCGCCUUCUUCGCGUCGCACGGAUGUUUCGCCAUCUUUCCCGAACCAGCUGCAGUCCAGCUCCGCAUCCCAAUAGGCAUAUAGGACCUUGAGGAAGUGGGAGCCGGAUUCCGAACGGGGUUCCUUCUGAUGCUGCAGGAAGCCGCCCAGCAUUCUGGUAAUGGAGUGUCAAGGCUCCAUCAGCUGUCCUUUAGCGGGCGCCCUUUUCUCCUUCUCCGCUUUAGCUGCCAAGCUGAUGGAGGUGAAGUCCUGUGGUCCCCCAAUGGAGAGCUCGUCGGAGACCGUUCUGGGGGUUGUGCUACAAAGGUCACGCCCGGCUGGAUGUCGAUGAAGGGAGCGAAGUCCCACUUGGCAGCACUUCAAAUUCAUUCCAUUUUUAAUUUUCAGUUUCCACACCGCUUUCGCACGAUUAAAUUUUUUAUUUUUUCGGCCCCGGCUAACAACGUUCAUCGACAUUCACUCGCUCAGUCUGGUAGUUUUUCUUAUAUUUCCAAAGCCCAUCUGAGUACCGCACUGAAAAACAGACCCGACGAAAAGCGUUAGCAGCGUAUUUGCAUAUCGCUCACUCCUAUUGUUGGCUCGCGGUUUUUGUCAAUGUGAGUACUAGGCCUUAAAAUUUUCAAAAUUUUCCUUGGUUCACUUUGGAGUCAUCCGGUUUAGAAAAAUUAGUUCUUUAUACCCUCUGUACACAGCCGCUUAAAAAUCGCUAUUGUAACUUAAAGCGGAUUCCUAUUCAUUUAGAUAAUCGCUGGAGCCAACAGCUAAUCGACUUAAGCAAAUCGUAUCCGAAUGCGGAGGACGCAAAAAUUCAGUUGCUGAAAAAAAAAUGAAAAACAACGCAAAACUAAAUUCAAUCUAAACACUAGCAUGUGGAAUGCUUUCAAUGCCAAGUGACCAGUUUGCCCUUCAUUGACCAGUUUGAGCUUUUUAGAGUGUAUGGCCGGCUGAGGAAUUCGUCGCUAGAUUUUAUAUAAUGGCGGAUCUUCUAAAGGAGCGAAUUGAUGGAUUUCAUGCAUUGAUUUUUGCAGGCCAUUCCUCCAGUAAAAUGUUACGUUUGAGUCUUCGUUUGCUUUCCCACAAGAGCUAUCUAUUUGGAGCUGGUCAAGGAUAUCUCAACAAAGUCAGUUUUUCAUGGCGUGUUACGUACGCCCUCCACAUAAAAAGAUUCUAGUACGGAACAAACGACGAGUCUUGAGACGGGGAGAGGGGUGCAUUUGAUUAACCAGACUCAGACUGGUAAACGCAGAAGAAAAUGCAAUUCGCCAAUUUGCGGGUGUCGCGUGGCCAGAACAACGGCCACGAUCGACCUACUGGUAAUCAUACUCAGGUAGUGGCAAAGUGCAACAGCCGGCCGUUGAGUCCCAAGAUAGCAGAUUUUAAGAAACAGGAUGCCUAGGUGGGAACACCUAGUUAAUACGAUCCAUGCCGGCAACCAAGUAAAAGCUCUAGUCUUGUAUAAAAGUCUUUAGACAGUUAAAGAAAGAGGGAGAAUCCAUUUGGGUGUCUUGCUGACGGAAGACGGCAGCUCCGAGGGAAGGUGACUUUCCCUGAGGUAGUCGUCCACGGAGUCUUCUGCCACCAGGACCCAACAGUCUAUAGGGAGGAAACAAAUCGCAGCUCGAAAGAAUCUUAUACCGCCAUAGUCAUCAAAGAACGUGGAGAGGAUCAACAAUAAGGACGACAUCCGACAUACUGUGAUGAUUGUUCAGCUUUAGGAGCCAUCCGUUCAGAGGCGUAUUGACCAAUAGCAUACUUCGGCGAAAGUAGUGAUCAAUCAAAGCUAAAGUGACCCUAUGCAUAACCAAAGACCAAUAUCCUUAAGCAAUACAAUUGGGGAACAAGUUAAAAUCAAAAAAACAUUGGAAGCAUUCAAAAUUGCAUUGAAAUACAUUUAAACAAACCGAAUCGAUAGACAAAGUCCGAAUUAUGAUGAACAGUUAGAGAAGACGUGUCUCCAUCAGCCGUUGAUGAAGUCGCAUGCCUUUGGAAUAUAUAUAUAUAGUGACGUAUCUGCACUGCGAUUUCUCAACGGCCACCAGUUCAAAGAACGAAACCGUUUACAAAUAAACAGAAUCGCCAAUUUCGGCUUUGAUUAAAA
Long non-coding RNA from Drosophila subpulchrella, 2319 nucleotides. RefSeq lists it as uncharacterized. The transcript has 3 exons. NCBI's taxonomy places the organism in Eukaryota, Metazoa, Arthropoda, Insecta, Diptera, Drosophilidae. The record is from RefSeq and is a predicted model, not a curated record.